AAAAAGACAAACCCUGGGUUUCCGUGUCCAAUGUUUGAAUGUCCGUCUUCUAUGAAAUUUCUUUAUAAUUAGUAUUUUCAUUGUUGUUAGAUGAUAAAACAUUAUUAAUACUUUAUGCGUGACUUUUUUUUAUUUUUUUAUAUUAUUUUCAAAUAAGACGGACGGUCAAACAUUGGACACGGAAACCCAGGUUUGUCUUUUUU
Molecule: non-coding RNA, 203 nt
Organism: Oryza barthii
Lineage: Eukaryota; Viridiplantae; Streptophyta; Magnoliopsida; Poales; Poaceae
Source: Rfam